AUUGGGAAAUGAUGAUAAUAUAUCGAUAUGUCAGAGGCAUAAUUUUAUUUGUGCUGUGCUGAAUAAAUAUGUUUGCACGUCAGUCUGAUCCCAAU
Capsicum annuum is the source of this 95-nucleotide non-coding RNA. The record is from Rfam. Lineage: Eukaryota; Viridiplantae; Streptophyta; Magnoliopsida; Solanales; Solanaceae.